UAGGCUGCCACAUAAGUCAGGGGUGAAAGUCGGUUGCUCAACAAUCGAAUUGCCUUUGAAACUGUGUGGCUCGAGUAUAGAUGAGGUAGGCGGAAUGUGUAGUGUAGCGGUGAAAUGCAUAGAUAUUACACAGAACCCCAAUUGCGAAGGCAGCUUACCAAACUAUUACUGACGCUGAAGCACGAAAGCGUGGGUAGCGAACAGGAUUAGAUACCCUGGUAGUCCACGCCGUAAACUAUGCUCACUCGCUGUUGGCAAUAGAUCGUCAGCGGCUAAGGGAAACCGAUAAGUGAGCCACCUGGGGAGUACGAUCGCAAGAUUGAAACUCAAAGGAAUUGACGGGGGCCCGCACAAGCGGAGGAACAUGUGGUUUAGUUCGAUGAUACGCGAGGAACCUUACCUGGGCUUAAAUGUAGAGUGCAUAAAGUGGAAACAUUUUUUUCCUUCGGGACUCUUUACAAGGUGCUGCAUGGUUGUCGUCAGCUCGUGCCGUGAGGUGUCGGGUUAAGUCCCAUAACGAGCGCAACCCCUAUCGUUAGUUACCAGCACGUAGUGGUGGGGACUCUAGCGAAGCUGCCGGUGUAAACCGUGAGGAAGGUGGGGAUGACGUCAAAUCAGCACGGCCCUUAUGUCCAGGGCUACACACGUGUUACAAUGGUCGGUACAGUGGGCAGCCACAUAGCAAUAUGGAGCUAAUCUCAAAAGCCGAUCUCAGUUCGGAUUGGAGUCUGCAACCCGACUCCAUGAAGGUGGAUUCGCUAGUAAUCGCGCAUCAGCCAUGGCGCGGUGAAUACGUUCCCGGGCAUUGUACACACCGCCCGUCAAGCCAUGGAAGUUUGGGGUGCCUGAAGUUCGUAACCGCAAGGAGCGACACUAGGGUAAAACAUAUGACUGGGGCUAAGUCGUGANAAG
RNAcentral lists this ribosomal RNA (912 nucleotides) under uncultured organism. RNAcentral's name for it is "bacterial SSU rRNA". It matches the Rfam family "Bacterial small subunit ribosomal RNA", at positions 572 to 1495 of the family's 1533-position model. The record is from RNAcentral.